AAAACAACAUUCGGAAAAAUGAUGUGUAAAAAAUGAAUGGGUGUCGGAGUGAUUAGUGUUUAUGAAUCUUUGUUUCAAUCCUUGAGGCAGACAAAAAAAUACUUGAAUUAUCACUCGAGAAAAACAACUUUCGGAAAAUUGAUAUGUAAAAAUGAGUGAGUGUCGGAAUGAUCAAUGUUUAUGGAUCUUUUUUUAAUUAUUUAGAAGCUUGAGGAAGACAAAAAAUAAAAUAAAAUAAAAUAAAUCACUCUGGAAAACAAUCUCCGGAAAACUAAAAUGUACAGAAGAACGAGUGUCAAAAUUAUUAAAGUUUAUGGAUUUUAAUGAUUUUGACUCUUGAGGUAGGCGCUAAAGUAUUCAAAUCAACACUUGAAUCGAGAAAAAAAAAACCUUCCAGAAAACUGAAAAGUAAAAAUUAACGAGUGUCGGAAUAAUUAAUGCUUAUGGACCUUUUCUUAAUUAUUUUGAUCCUUGAGGUAGGUGGUAAAGUAUUCAAAUUAUAACUUGUAUCAAUAAAAACAAGUGGAGUAGAGGAGGAGGAGGAGGAGGAGGAGGUUAAUGAAAAAGGUCAGGAGGGAGGGAAAAAAUUAAUAGGAAGGAAAGAAAGGAGGGAGAGAUGGAGGGAAAAGAAAAGACAAAUGGAGAGGAAUGAAGAAAAGGAGGAAGAGAAGGAGGAGGAGGAGGGAAAUAAAAAGAGAUCAGAAGGGAAGGAAAGAAUGAACAGGGAGAAGAGGAAGGAGGGAAGAGAUAGACGGAUGAAAGGAAGAGAUGAAUGGAGAGGAAUAGAGAGAAGGACGAAGA
This is a long non-coding RNA of Eriocheir sinensis (Chinese mitten crab), 801 nucleotides long. RefSeq lists it as uncharacterized. Lineage: Eukaryota; Metazoa; Arthropoda; Malacostraca; Decapoda; Varunidae. The record is from RefSeq and is a predicted model, not a curated record. The transcript is spliced from 2 exons.